This 455-nucleotide long non-coding RNA is filed under the name Rattus norvegicus (Norway rat). RNAcentral describes it as "long non-coding RNA NONRATT019039". Lineage: Eukaryota; Metazoa; Chordata; Mammalia; Rodentia; Muridae. The record is from RNAcentral.
AGGUGCCCAGCCCAGAGGCAGCCCCCAGGCUGCAGGCUUUGACUCUCAGCCUGGCAGAGCAUGUAUGCAACCUGGAGAGGCGGCUGGCAGCCACAGAAGAGACCGCCAUUAGCCCCAGGAAGAGCACCCAGCCAGCAGGCACUCAGUUCUUACCAGAACUUGAUCACCAGAGAGGCAGCUCUGGGUCUGGGGUCAGGAGACGGUGUCCAGGGGAGUCUCUCGUCAACCCUGGUUUCAAAAGAAACCAGCUGGUGGUGUAGACUUCGAUGAGACCUGAAGCUAGCAAAGCCUGUGUGACCUUGCCAGGAGUCUGUCUGCAAGGAAAGGGGACAUCUAGGACCCCUAACCAGAGACACCCUUUGCUUCACUUCCCCUGUGGUCCUGCUGAUGGGCAAAAGUACCUCUCAUCCCUUCCCCAUCAAAUAAACUGCUCCCUUGGGGAGAGAUGCUAGGCC